UGGCUCAGUGGUAGAGUACUUGCCUUGCAUGCAUGAGGCCCUGAGUUCAAAUCCUCAG
Non-coding RNA from Dipodomys ordii (Ord's kangaroo rat), 58 nucleotides. The record is from Rfam. Lineage: Eukaryota; Metazoa; Chordata; Mammalia; Rodentia; Heteromyidae.